This 436-nucleotide long non-coding RNA is filed under the name Homo sapiens (human). RNAcentral's name for it is "non-protein coding lnc-CLEC20A-8:1". The record is from RNAcentral. Lineage: Eukaryota; Metazoa; Chordata; Mammalia; Primates; Hominidae.
GUGGUUUGAAUGUCUGUAUCCCUCCAAAACUCAUGCUGAAACUGAAUCCCCAGUGCAACAGUAAUAAGAGAUGGGGUAGGUGGGAGUGGGAACGCCAUCAGGGCAGAGCCCCUCCAGCUGGCUGGGGUCUGCACCUCCUCGCCAGCCCGGCCACCUCAAAACGGUGCUUGCCUCCCUGCGGGGGUGUAGAAGCCUCUUGGAGCAGCACUUGUAGAAAAUCAAGUCCCUGGAAAGAAGCAAAAUUAAUCCGUUUGUUUCUCUAUUUAUUUUUGCUUCCCCACACCAGGUAUUCACUUCAUCCAAGGCUGCCCAAUGUCACCUUCCACCCAGAGGAAUCUCCCCUCUCCACCCCAGGCCAACAGCCUCUGCCUUCAGCUGUGGCCUCCACUCUGGCAUUACUCUGGGCAGAGGGCUCAGGAGGGCUCAAGGAGGACCA